GGAAGGUUUUCCAAUUAGAACAUUAUUUUUCCGAUCUGUGGAUGAUUUUUAAAGCAGCAAAAAGCCAUUCUUCAGGGCAUGUGGGGAUUAUCUGCCAGUGAGGCCUUGGCUCAGCUUGUGCACUCGUGCUCUGGAGGCCUGGCCUGGGGCUGCUUCACAGCCAGAGACAAAAGGCAGUCUGUGUUCCGGGCAUCAGGUCACAGAGGCCAAGACGGAUUGCGGAGUGUUUCCUGGGCUUCUUCGAAGUACUAGUUUCAAAAGGUAGCGGGGGAGUUCAGCCUGCAGGGGUGGGAGAUGUGCACGCGGCCGAGGAGGCCUGCCUGUACAACCUCUCUGCUCCCAGAGGUGAGGCACUGUCUACAGGGCAGGAACUGCUUGGGCGUGGAUUCUGCACCAUGAACCUGAACUGGUCUGCCUUCCCCACCAGAUCUGGGUGCAGGUGGCAGUGUGGUGGGGAAAGGAGGUCCUAAAUGGGGCAUUUGAUGAUUAAGAAUAAGUGUGUAUGUCACACACUGGAGGGGCCCAGCCCCUAAGCCUGCAGUGCAGGUCAAGGGCAGUGCAGGGGCCUCACAGGCAAUACCCAGAAGGCAGGGUCUUGCUCCCAGCCACAUGGAGAGCUGGUUAUAGACUCAGAGGCCGGGCCUGAAGGUUUGGGGCUCCAUAGGGGCCACUGUGGCUACAACCACGCCUGGGGACCCCUGUCAUGAGGGGACCCACCCUGCUUGGAACCAGUGGAGUCACCCAACAAGUGGAAACUGGUUGAAGAGCUUAGGAGGAUGAGGUGUCAAGGCAGGCCCUAGAAAGAGGGAGGGCAGGGGGGGAUUAGGGUGCAAACAGGAGCCCAGCCCUACUCACAUGUGAACCUGAGAACCCCAACUGGAUGGGGGUUCCAUCCACAGCAACCGGAGCCCAAGUUUUAGUCCUAUUUCUGUCUCAGAAUGGCUGUGUGGCCCCUGUGGGCUAUGGUCCAUCCCUCUCUGGACCUGUUUCCCCAUCUGCACCAUGGCAGGGUUUGGAUCUGGCAUGGGUCUCCAGUACCUUCUGGUGUGAGGACACUCUGCCUGGGCUGGUUUUGGUUGUUUUCAGGUUCAACUUCAGCCUGAAAACUGUCAGGCCCUACCCGUCGUCCCCCUCCCUUACCUGGGAAAUCUUGGGCUAGACUGGCUUGCCUGGGUUCUGUUCCCAGCCCUGGAGACCUGAAUGGGCUCCUGGAGCCGAUGAGCCCUGCUGGCCACUUCCUUCCAGACUGCCGCCUGUCCCCCUGUCAUCUGCUUGCUUCCCAAAGAACUCGCCUCCAUUGCCUGCUCCUGGUUCCUGACUCCCCUCAGCAUAGGGGGUCACCACUUGCCCACUGCUGCCUCUUCCAGGCAGCCCAGACUGGCUGCACCCUCCAGCCCAUCAGUGUUAGAGGCAGCACUUUUAUCCUCAGAGCAAGGUCUUGCUGUGGGGAGACUACUUGAGCUGGGGGACUCCAGGAGGACUCUGCCAGAGCCUGGAGGGCUGGUCAGCCUUGGAGCUAGAGAUGGUGGUCAAGGCACAAGAGGAGCUGAGAGUAGAAAGGGACAGGGCCAAGCUCAAGCCAGGCAGGGGUAGAGCCCAGUCUGGGGGCAACCAGGAGCCACCAGAGUCUUGGCCCUCCAGCUCUAAUCCAAGGGGAAGUUCACGAAGGACCCAGUGUUCUGGCUAAGAAUGGAUGGCAGUUUACCAGCAAGGAGACAUCUUGUGCAGGGCCCUGGUGGGACAAGAGCACUCAGUGUGUCUGGGUCCACAUGACUGAGAGCAAGGAGUCAAAGAGGAGGCUGAUGAAGUUGGCAAGGGCCUCGAAGCCUGGCUGAGAUGGCUGGGGGUGGCCCUGGUGGGGGUAGGGGGGGCUCCAUUGGCACAGUGAGCAGGUGGGCAGGGCAGGGCAAGGUAGGGCAAGGCAGUCACCUUUCGAGUCAAACUCGUUUGCAGGCAAGAUCAGCUGCAGGGCCUGGCAGCCUGGCAAGGAGGGAGGAGUUAAGGAAAGGCCAAUCCCUCUGGCUGGUGCUGUCAUGGUGGGACUGACCCAGUGGGGGCUGAAUCACCUGGUAUGUAGGAAGAGCUGUGAGGCCCUGGGGCAACCCAGCCCCAGGCAGCCCUUGCUCACUGGCCAUUGUUGGCUUUGGACACCACUCUCGCUUGUGCUCUCUGGAGUGAGCUUUCCAUUUCCUGCUGGUGACCUUCGAGAGGGGGGGGCCACCCUCUUUCUCAUCCUUAUAUCUACUGCAUCCCUCUGACCUCUACCUUCUGCCUCUUUAAGUAAGGGGCUCUGGAAGGGUAAGGGGACCCAGAGAGGGGGUGAGACAUAUCCAAGGACAUAUAGUGAGUAUCAUCUUUAGGAGCUAGGAUGCCAAGUCAAAUCCAUGGUGACCAGCAACCUGAGAUCAGGGGCAGGGAGGUAUUAGAUGCUGGUCCCCAGACUGGAAGCAGAGAAACAUUUGUUGGCAAGAGAUGCAGAUGAGCUGAAGUGACUUUAUACUUUAGAUAUAAUCCCUACUCCCACACCCCACACAUAUAUUCACUCAGAUAUAGGGCCACUUCCUCUCUGCCUGAUAAAGCCCGAGAAGAGCAAGGACAGCUUCCUGAGUGUUGAUCACCUCCCAAUCCUCCCCAACCCCCCAUGUUGGUUUCCAUGUCCCAGUGAUGACUCAGACAGGGCCCUGCCCUCCCCAAGCUCACCAUCUAGAACAAUAAAAGGUGACAGCCAUUAUGCUUGAUUGAUGCAGUCAGAGGGAACUGGGGAAGCAUGGACAAGGAAGUGAUCUACUUGCCUGGGUGACCCGUGCAGUCAGGAGAGAAUUUACAAACACUUGAGGAAAGUUUUGAACAAUGACUAAGAGCUCACUAAGCAGACAAGGGGACAAAAGACAUUCUAGGGAGUCUGAGCACCAGGAGUAAAAGUGUCAAGGAGACAGGAUGUAUUCAAAAAUCGGAAGGAGGUGAGUGUGGCUGGAAUACAUUGAACCAAGGGAAGAGAGUGGCUGGGUCUGCAGCCAAAUCAUUGAGCCCCUUAAAGAGGUUGCCUUUUAUCUUGAGAGCAAUGGGAAGCCAUCAAAGAGCUACAGGCAGCUUUGGAGCCAUGUGCAAAGUCCUCGACUGACUUCUGUGUGGAGACUGGAUGGGGAGGAAGGCAAGACCAGAGGCAGGGAAAACAAUGAAGAGGCUUGGACUAGGUGGCGGCAGUGGGCGUGGAGAGAAGCAGAUGGAUUGGAGGACCCUUGGGACCUAGAUUCAGCACUGUUUGUUGAAGGAGAACCCGUUGCUCCAUGGUUUGGAUGCUCUCAUCCUCAUAGACCAUCUCCUUGCCAAUUCUGUGUGGUCUCUUGGAGAGAGAAGCCCCACAGGUAAGGGUAGGGGCUUCUUCUGACACUCAGUCCAUCCUAGCCCCUAGCCCAGUGCCUUCACUGUCACUAGUACUCAGCAAGCAUAACAAUGACACAAGUACACAAAAAGCAGGAAUGAAUGAAUGACACUCAUGAAACCGCACUGGACCUCUGGAUCUGGCUGUGUCCCCCCACGGAGUCUGCGGGGAUGCCCUGGCUAGGCGGACAGGGUGUUCGCUGCAGUGCCUUUGGAACCCCAAGUUUCCCAGGAGGGUUUCCCAGCGUGAGAACUCAGGCGCCGCCGGGUAGUAGGCUCUCUGCCUUUCCUCUCCUUUCCAGCCUCCGGGACUUCCUGCAUGAUCUGAGCCGACAGCCCCCAGUCCCCCUCCCCACCCCUGU
Molecule: long non-coding RNA, 3743 nt
Filed under: Bos grunniens (domestic yak)
Lineage: Eukaryota; Metazoa; Chordata; Mammalia; Artiodactyla; Bovidae
Description: lncRNA (ENSBGRG00000023001.1)
Source: RNAcentral